Long non-coding RNA from Passer domesticus (house sparrow), 511 nucleotides. RefSeq lists it as uncharacterized. The record is from RefSeq and is a predicted model, not a curated record. Lineage: Eukaryota; Metazoa; Chordata; Aves; Passeriformes; Passeridae. The transcript has 2 exons.
CAGAACUUGUUUCCCCACAGCUGCUUGAGUCACUGCACCAGCCAUGUCAGAGGCCUCCAGCCAGCCAGACCUUUUGUUGCUAAAUGUAGCUCACCAGGUCUCAGGUUAACAAGAGAGUCUGAUGACUCUCUGUAAGUCUGGGACUUACAAUCACACAUUUAGCAAAAAGUCUGCAACUGUCAAUGAGCUGUGCAAAGGAACUACAGGAGAAAGUGAACAGGAUGUGCAGUAUUCAAGAUAACAAGCAAGAAAUUGGAAGAGUACCCUGGGAAAAGCCAGCUAACUACAGCAGCCUUUGCAAGAUUAUGCUCCUACAACAGCCUGCACACACUGGCAUGAACCCUUGCAUGAAGAGCAUAAGCAGUGCCCUGAGGCUUCUGUUAUUCUUGUCUGGAGAAUUGAAACAUGACUAAUGUGAAGUGCAAUGCACAUGCUCUUUACUCCCUUGUCUGGCAGUUGAAAAUAUACCACAAUUUUCCCUUUUCAGAGGCCUAGAUUCAGAGAAGAGAGA